GCGCCUCAGUGAGAGACUUUCUGCUUUGUAUGCAGAAGGUGCCAGGUUCAAUCCCUGACAGGAGCU
Molecule: non-coding RNA, 66 nt
Organism: Podarcis lilfordi (Lilford's wall lizard)
Lineage: Eukaryota; Metazoa; Chordata; Lepidosauria; Squamata; Lacertidae
Source: the annotation of a GenBank genome assembly